This 316-nucleotide unclassified non-coding RNA is filed under the name Hevea brasiliensis (rubber tree). The record is from RNAcentral. Lineage: Eukaryota; Viridiplantae; Streptophyta; Magnoliopsida; Malpighiales; Euphorbiaceae.
AUUUGUUCUGUGCUUAAUUCUAUGUGCAUUUGCAGGUUUUUCACCCUUUUUCCAUACAGGAAAUCAGUGCAUGUUGUGGUUUUUAUCUUGCAAGCAUUUUGAGAUUCCAUAAUCACAAUUAAUAAUGUGCCUAUUCCCUAAUUUGCAACUUUCUGCAUUAUUUUCUGCUUGAUGAUGCAACUGCAAAAAGUAGAAAGUGGAUUGACGGAAAAAAGAAGAAGAAGAAGAAGAAGAAGAAGAAGAAGAAGAUAGUUAUGGGUCCAUGGCUAGGUUUAAAGGAUGGAAAAACAAAAAAAAAAAAAGAAGGGAAGAGAGG